AACGGGUGCGGAACACGUACACAACCUUCCUUCGAGCGGGGAAUAGCCCAGAGAAAUUUGGAUUAAUACCCCAUAGUAUAUUGAAAAGGCAUCUUUUUAAUAUUAAAGAUUUAUCACUUGAAGAUGGGUGUGCGGCUGAUUAGGUAGUUGGCGGGGUAACGGCCCACCAAGCCGACGAUCAGUAACUGGUGUGAGAGCACGACCAGUCACACGGGCACUGAGACACGGGCCCGACUCCUACGGGAGGCAGCAGUAAGGAAUAUUGGUCAAUGGACGCAAGCCUGAACCAGCCAUGCCGCGUGGAGGAUGAAGGUCCUCUGGAUUGUAAACUUCUUUUAUAUGGGACGAAAAAAGAUCUUUCCAGAUCAACUGACGGUACCAUAUGAAUAAGCACCGGCUAACUCCGUGCCAGCAGCCGCGGUAAUACGGAGGGUGCAAGCGUUAUCCGGAUUCACUGGGUUUAAAGGGUGCGUAGGUGGGUUGGUAAGUCAGUGGUGAAAUCCCCGAGCUUAACUUGGGAACUGCCAUUGAUACUAUCAGUCUUGAAUCCG
This 551-nucleotide ribosomal RNA is filed under the name uncultured Bacteroidota bacterium. RNAcentral describes it as "bacterial SSU rRNA". It matches the Rfam family "Bacterial small subunit ribosomal RNA", at positions 101 to 650 of the family's 1533-position model. The record is from RNAcentral. Lineage: Bacteria; Pseudomonadati; Bacteroidota.